AUUGAACGCUGGCGGCAGGCCUAACACAUGCAAGUCGAACGAGUGGCGGACGGGUGAGUAAUGUAUGGGGAUCUGCCUGAUAGAGGGGGCUAACUACUGGAAACGGUGGCUAAUACCGCAUACUAUCGUAUGUGCCCACAGGGGAUUAGCUAGUAGGUGGGGUAAAGGCUCACCUAGGCGACGAUCGCUAGCUGGUCUGAGAGGGUGAUCAGCCACACUGGGACUGAGACACGGCCCAGACUCCUACGGGAGGCAGCAGUGGGGAAUAUUGCACAAUGGGCGCAAGCCUGAUGCAGCCAUGCCGCGUGUAUGAAGAAGGCCUUAGGGUUGUAAAGUACUGUCAGCGGGGAGGCGUUACCCGCAGAAGAAGCAACGGCUAACUCCGUGCCAGCAGCCGCGGUAAUUC
This 406-nucleotide ribosomal RNA is filed under the name uncultured bacterium. RNAcentral describes it as "partial 16S ribosomal RNA". It matches the Rfam family "Bacterial small subunit ribosomal RNA", at positions 30 to 526 of the family's 1533-position model. The record is from RNAcentral.